Gallus gallus (chicken) is the source of this 2033-nucleotide long non-coding RNA. NCBI's taxonomy places the organism in Eukaryota, Metazoa, Chordata, Aves, Galliformes, Phasianidae. The record is from Ensembl.
GUCCAAUGGUAUGUCCAAGUCAUCUGUUAACCUCCUCCACUGUCUCAGAUGUUUAGAGUUCCCUUCCCUAUAGCGAAUGAAAAAUGGAAAGCACAGCCAUGGCGUGACCUGGACUGACCUAACGCUUGAUUGCCUCCAUCCCUGUUCAUGGGUUAAUGAAGAAUGAGCUGGCUGAAAGAUGAACAUGAUUAUGUGUAAGACAACAGAUCUUAUGGAAGCAGAAGACUGUAUGGGGGACCUACACAGUGACCAACAGCAGACUAGCAGCAGAACACUGAACAAAAGGAAAACCAGACUUGUCUGUUACAUAUGUUUUCUCACAAGAAAGAGCACACGCGGGGAUUCAGUCCCCAUGUGACUUCAGGAGAAGGCAGAGGAGUUACAAAGAAGGGAUUAACUGGCAAUACAUUUGCAAUUAAGUGCUCUGCCAUCCUUGCUCUCUUUUCAGCAGCUUUACAUUUCCUUCUGUUGACGUUAUACCCCCAAGAUACCCAAAGCAGGUGGGGUGGUCGGGAACGAAGAGUCUCAUAAGCAAACGCUAAAGAGCUCCUAAUUCAAGAUGGACACUAAAACUGCUGAAAAUUUUGUAACAAAUUGUCAACUUUUUGUCCCCCUUCCAAAAGCUCCCAGAGACUCUUGCUCUUGGUGUUGGGAUCUCCUUUCUAACACAGAUAUUGUUUAAAUAUGCAAUGUUAUUUUACUUUAGUUCUCAAAUGAGUCUUUAUUUCAUCCAGAUGUUACUGCUCAUAUCCCUGUCUUCGUUUAGAGCAACACUUUGUAGAAUACCUAAUCUUUAAGUCACUUUUACUUUAAUUCACCACUAUAUUUUUAAACGACUGUGUUUGACAUAAACCACUAGCUGGUUUCACAACUGCAGCGUCUCCACCUUUGGCAAACUCUUCACUUAUUUAUUCCCUCCUCUUUUAAUGGAGUUGCUGGAACCACUUAAAAUCCAUUAAUACACUACAAAUUUCAAGCACAAAUCAUAUUUGUGUGAACUAGUGCAGUUGGAAAUGCUGAAUAACUUCUACUUCAUAUGAAAUCAAGUCCAUUGUAAAUGUGUAAUUGCGAUCCUCAAACAGCUUAAAGAUUUUCUGCAAAUACUAUGUGAAGAGUCUCUUCCUGUGAAAGAAGUGGCACUUAGCACCAAGGUAUUUUCAUCCUGUCAACACUGGUAAGAAAACCAACCGUAGUUUUGCUAGCAGGGAUAAGCCUGAGGUUAGAAACCAAGCACAGAACAGAAAAACCCUACCACUACAGGUUUGAAGCAUCAGCCAUCCCUGAAGCAGCUGUAGAAGUGCCUGCAAUUACCUCAGGAAUGAGGAGCAGCUGAGUUCAGUUCCCAGUUAGCUCUUACUGACCUAGUGGUUGUUAACCCUGUACGUGGUGGGGGGGUCUUUAAGAAUCUUUAAGGUUCUGUCCAAAGUAAGCUAUUCUGUGAUUUAAGAAGUAAACGAGGAAUGGAAGGAUCUUAGGGUUUUACAUAACCAAUUGAGUUAGGGGGCAGUGGGAGGACAAGUGAUGUAAGAGAAAGGUGUGUGUUUAAGCUGCCAGUUUGACACUUGAUCUAUUUCUCUGAAAGGCCCUGUGGUUAGCUGCUGAAGGGUUGGAGGAGAGUCUCCUCUAAAGAAAAAAAUAAACAAAGAAAAACCAUGUAUGUCACCACAGCAGAAGAUACUGCAUUUGGAUGUGUGAGCGAGCAGUGGAUCCUUUGGGAAGUGCCAACAGGGCCUCGUAAUGGCCAUGCCUCCAGAAAGCUGCUGUGGAGAGUCAAAACAAUUAAAAAGUACUUCACCCCCAUGCUCCCUGCAGGAAUUCAGAUGCUCAAGUCACUCUGUCCUUUCUGGAACACAUUAGUUUCACAACAGGUGAUGACAGCAGCCUGAGAGACAGCAAUAGGUAAGAGGAGGAAAGAGUGAGGGUGGAUGCAGGAGGGUGAGAGCACAGUGAAAGAAAUGAACAAGAGCCCAACUACCCCCGUUUGCUGCCAGAGAUAUGCUAAAGCUGACUCUUUGGAAGAGAAUAAAUCCAAC